Molecule: ribosomal RNA, 1137 nt
Filed under: feces metagenome
Description: bacterial SSU rRNA
Rfam family: Bacterial small subunit ribosomal RNA
Source: RNAcentral
AUGGGCGAAAGCCUGAUGGAGCAAUGCCGCGUGAAUGAAGAAGGUCUUCGGAUCGUAAAGUUCUGUUAUUAGAGAAGAAUAAAUCAAGGAGUAACUAUCUUGAUUUUGACGGUACCUAACCAGAAAGUCACGGCUAACUACGUGCCAGCAGCCGCGGUAAUACGUAGGUGACGAGCGUUGUCCGGAAUUAUUGGGCGUAAAGGGAGCGCAGGCGGUUGGAACAGUCUGAUGUGAAAGCCCACGGCUUAACCGUGGAAGGUCAUUGGAAACUGUCCAACUUGAAUACAGAAGAGGUAAGUGGAAUUCCAUGUGUAGCGGUGAAAUGCGUAGAUAUAUGGAGGAACACCAGUGGCGAAGGCGACUUACUGGUCUGUGAUUGACGCUGAGGCUCGAAAGCGUGGGUAGCAAACAGGAUUAGAUACCCUGGUAGUCCACGCUGUAAACGAUGAGUGCUAGGUGUUGGAGGGUUUCCGCCCUUCGGUGCCGGAGCUAACGUAUUAAGCACUCCGCCUGGGGAGUACGGCCGCAAGGCUUAAACUCAAAGGAAUUGACGGGGACCCGCACAAGCGGUGGAGCAUGUGGUUUAAUUCGAAGCAACGCGAAGAACCUUACCAGCUCUUGACGAGUUUCCCCUUCGGGGGCAGUUAGACAGGUGGUGCAUGGUUGUCGUCAGCUCGUGUCGUGAGAUGUUGGGUUAAGUCCCAUAACGAGCGCAACCCUUAUUGUUAGUUGCCAACAUUCAGUUGGGCACUCUAACGAGACUGCCGGUGAUAAACCGGAGGAAGGUGGGGACGACGUCAAAUCAUCAUGCCCCUUAUGAGCUGGGCUACACACGUGCUACAAUGGACGGCACAACGAGUUGCGAGGGCGCGAGCCUUAGCGAAUCUUUCAAAGCCGUUCUCAGUCCGGAUUGUUCUCUGCAACUCGAGAGCAUGAAGACGGAAUCGCUAGUAAUCGCGGAUCAGAAUGUCGCGGUGAAUACGUUCCCGGGUCUUGUACACACCGCCCGUCACACCACGAGAGUUCGUAACACCCGAAGCCGGUGGAGCAACCUUUAAUUAGGAGCUAACCGUCGAAGGUGGGAUGGAUGAUUGGGGUGAAGUCGUAACAAGGUAGCCGUAUCGGAAGGUGCGGCUG